This is a non-coding RNA of Vigna unguiculata (cowpea), 2824 nucleotides long. The record is from RefSeq and is a predicted model, not a curated record. Lineage: Eukaryota; Viridiplantae; Streptophyta; Magnoliopsida; Fabales; Fabaceae.
UUGGUGUUGGCGUUGCAUCCUCCCGAUACAGAAGCAAUCAUUUAGUGAGUCUCAAACACAGUCUCACAUAAACACACAACACAACACAAAACUUCAAAAGCCACACACAACACACACUUCCGAUAGAAGAGGCUCCGCGACAAUUCAGCUACUGACUACUGUGGAAUGUGUGGACAGCAGAGAUAGGAGUUUUUUUUGCUGUCGGAUUGCUUUCUUUUGAGGUUUCUAACCGUGUUGGGUUUUCAUUAUGAGCGGGGUGCCUAAGAGGUCUCAUGAAGAUUCUGUUCAUCAGUCUUCAAAGCAUCCACAUCCAGAUUCUGGUACAUAUUCCAAGUUGAUGCCAUCUGUUUCAAAUGACCACCAUAUUCCGUAUGAUAUGGGUCAGGAUUCCCGGGUGGCAAAGACACUCCGUACUGAAUCUCGUGAUGCAGAUAGAAGAUCUCCUCUUCAUACAGUGUAUCGGAUGCCAUCAUCUUCAAAUGAUUCUUAUACAGAUCAUCCCACUGGAACUGAGAACAGGAUAGAAUCUAGGGAUUUCAAGGAGAGUAGGGAUCUCCGGUUUGAGAAUCGUGAUAUGAACUCUGAGAAGAAGGAAUUGCAUGGUGAAGUCAGAAGGGAUUCUCAGAUUGCUAAAAGUGAAAAAGAUGCACGAGUUGAUGCCAGAGGAGAUGACAACAAGGAUGUCAGAUAUGAACGAGAUAGUCAUAAUGAUUCGAAAGGUGACAUUAAGACAGAUAAGGAUGGCUAUGGUAUGGUAAGCAGCAGCAGCCACUUGAAUUGGAAAGAAUCAAAGGAGUAUAGGGGGAAGAGAUUUUCUGAUACUCCUGGUGGGAGUUUGGAUUCUUGGCAUGCAUCACGUGGCAAUACACCAGAAGUUGGAAAGGGCAGUUCAAUGGCAGAAGAAAGGGACAGUUUGGAAACUCAUGAAGCUGUUGGAGAAAACAAAAUUGAUUCUAAAAGUGAAGAUAGGUUUAAAGAAAGAAAAAGAAAGGAUGGCAAGCAUCGGGAUUGGGGGAUAGGGAAAAGGAGAGAAGUGAUCGCAGAAGCAGUACACCAGUUAACAAUAAUAGUGGUGACAACAAAGAAUCUGCCAAGGAAGAUAAAGAUGUAGAAAAAUUGGAGAGGGAGAGGAAAGAUCUUCCAAAAGAGAAAGAAAGUUCAAAAGAGAGGGAAAAGGAUCAUAACAAGAGGGAAUCCUGGAAUAGCAUUGACAAAGAGGCUUUGAAUGAUGACAUGGAACUUGGUGAUGGAUCAGCAAAAAGUACUGUGCAAGAAAAUGUUUUACCAGAACAGAAGAAACAGAAAGAUGUUGAUAGCUGGAAAAAUGUUGAUGGAGAAGCUAGAGAGAGGAGGAAAGAAAGGGAUGCUGAUUUACAGGGAGAUCGGCCUGAGAAGCGCAGUAAAAUUGACAAACAAUCAGAAGAUGGAAUUGUUCACGGGGAAGGGUCUGGAGAAAAGGAGAGGGAAGUUCAUAAUUAUAAUGUUCAACAUCGUAAAAGGAUCCAUCGAUCAAGGGGAAGCCCGCAGGUGGCCAAUCGGGAGGCUCGUUUUAGAUCCCAUGCUCAUGCCCCUGAGAAUGAAGAGUCUCAAGGUAAAGCAGAAGUAUCUUCUGUUGUUUAUAAAGUUGGUGAAAGCAUGCAAGAACUGAUAAAGUUAUGGAAGGAAUAUGAAUUAUCUCAAUCUCAAGUGGAAAAAAAUAGUGAAAGUUCUAAAAGUGGCCCUACUUUUGAAAUUCGUAUACCAGCUGAGAAUGUCACCGCUACAAACCGUCAAGUUAGAGGUGGCCAGCUGUGGGGGACCGAUGUUUACACUUAUGACUCGGAUCUUGUUGCUGUUCUCAUGCAUACAGGUUAUUGUCGCCCAACAGCUUCUCCACCUCCCGUGGCUGUACAAGAGUUGCGCACAACCAUUCGAGUGCUACCUCCACAAGAUUGCUAUAUAUCAACCCUGAGAAACAAUGUUCGAUCCCGUGCUUGGGGUGCUGCAAUUGGUUGUAGUUAUAAAGUUGAGCGGUGCUGCAUUGUGAAGAAAGGAGGUGGAACUAUUGAUCUUGAACCCUGCCUUACGCAUACCUCAACCAUUGAACCUACCCUUGCACCAGUAGCUGUUGAACGGACAAUGACUACUAGGGCUGCAGCUUCGAAUGCAUUGCGGCAACAAAGAUUUGUACGUGAAGUUACAAUACAGUACAACCUUUGCAAUGAACCUUGGAUCAAAUAUAGUAUAAGCAUUGUUGCUGACAAGGGUCUAAAAAAGCCACUCUAUACCUCCGCUCGUUUAAAGAAGGGAGAAGUUCUGUAUCUGGAAACACACUCCUGCAGAUACGAGCUCUGUUUUAUUGGAGAAAAGAUGGUGAAAGCUAUACCAGCAAGUCAGAUGCAUGACCCAGAUACAGAGAAGUCUCAAAAUCACCAUCACCAUCCAACAAAUGGUGACAAAGCUGAUUCUGAUCAUGUCAUGGUUGAUGUGUUUCGAUGGUCUCGAUGUAAGAAUCCUCUGCCCCAGAAAGUGAUGCGGUUGAUUGGCAUCCCUCUUCCUCUUGAACACGUGGAGGUGCUUGAAGAAAGCCUGGACUGGGAAGAUGUACAGUGGUCCCAAACUGGUGUUUGGAUUGGAAGAAAGGAAUAUACCCUUGCUCGGGUACAUUUCUUGUCAAUGAAUUAGUUCAUUGUCAUGUUUUGUUUCAAAAGGGGGAUAGGGUGCUGCCAUGAUGUAAUGCAUGUGUACUUUUAACAUUAAAAAGUAAAUUUUAGUACCUUUCUCAUGUAACUUAAAAUAGUUUUUUAGUUUUCAAUAAAAAGUUUUAAUGUUUAAUUUUUCUUAA